Molecule: transfer RNA, 84 nt
Filed under: Spirochaetia bacterium
Lineage: Bacteria; Pseudomonadati; Spirochaetota; Spirochaetia
Description: tRNA-Leu
Rfam family: tRNA
About the family: Transfer RNA (tRNA) molecules are approximately 80 nucleotides in length.
Source: RNAcentral
UGCGGCCAUGGUGGAACUGGUAGACACGCUAGCUUGAGGUGCUAGUGGCGAGAGCCAUGGAAGUUCAAGUCUUCUUGGCCGCAA